GGAUGAACGCUGGCGGCGUGCCUAAUACAUGCAAGUCGAGCGAACAGAUAAGGAGCUUGCUCCUUUGAAGUUAGCGGCGGACGGGUGAGUAACACGUGGGUAACCUACCUAUAAGACUGGGAUAACUUCGGGAAACCGGAGCUAAUACCGGAUAACAUUUAGAACCGCAUGGUUCUAAAGUGAAAGAUGGUUUUGCUAUCACUUAUAGAUGAACCCGCGCCGUAUUAGCUAGUUGGUAAGGUAACGGCUUACCAAGGCGACGAUACGUAGCCGACCUGAGAGGGUGAUCGGCCACACUGGAACUGAGACACGGUCCAGACUCCUACGGGAGGCAGCAGUAGGGAAUCUUCCGCAAUGGGCGAAAGCCUGACGGAGCAACGCCGCGUGAGUGAUGAAGGGUUUCGGCUCGUAAAACUCUGUUAUUAGGGAAGAACAAAUGUGUAAGUGACUGUGCACAUCUUGACGGUACCUAAUCAGAAAGCCACGGCUAACUACGUGCCAGCAGCCGCGGUAAUACGUAGGUGGCAAG
Molecule: ribosomal RNA, 529 nt
Filed under: uncultured bacterium
Lineage: Bacteria
Description: bacterial SSU rRNA
Rfam family: Bacterial small subunit ribosomal RNA
Source: RNAcentral